UGGGGAAGUAUUGGACAAUGGCGGAAGACCUGAUCCAGCCAUGCCGCGUGUGUGAAGAAGGUCUUCGGAUUGUAAAGCACUUUAAGUUGGGAGGAAGGGCAGUAAGUUAAUACCUUGCUGUUUUGACGUUACCGACAGAAUAAGCACCGGCUAACUCUGUGCCAGCAGCCGCGGUAAUACAGAGGGUGCAAGCGUUAAUCGGAAUUACUGGGCGUAAAGCGCGCGUAGGUGGUUUGUUAAGUUGGAUGUGAAAGCCCGGCGCAACCUGGGAACUGCAUCCAAAACUGGCAAGCUAGAGUACGGUAGAGGGUGGUGGAAUUUCCUGUGUAGCGGUGAAAUGCGUUAGAUAUAGGAAGGAACACCAGUGGCGAAGGCGACCACCUGGACUGAUACUGACACUGAGGUGCGAAAGCGUGGGGAG
RNAcentral lists this ribosomal RNA (421 nucleotides) under uncultured Pseudomonadaceae bacterium. Its description in RNAcentral is "bacterial SSU rRNA". It matches the Rfam family "Bacterial small subunit ribosomal RNA", at positions 355 to 768 of the family's 1533-position model. The record is from RNAcentral. Lineage: Bacteria; Pseudomonadati; Pseudomonadota; Gammaproteobacteria; Pseudomonadales; Pseudomonadaceae.